GAGUUUGAUCCUGGCUCAGAAUGAACGCUGGCGGCGUGCUUAACACAUGCAAGUCGAGCGAGGCCGUGGGGGGCAACUCCCAGAGUCGAGCGGCGGGACGGGUGAGUAACACGUGGGUAACCUGCCCGGAAGUGGGGAAUACCUCGGGGAAACUCGAGCUAAUACCGCAUGACAUCUUUGGGACGAAAGUCCUGACGAUCAAAGCGGGGUCGCAAGAUCUCGCGCUACCGGAUGGGCCCGCGCCCGAUUAGCUAGUUGGUGAGGUAACGGCUCACCAAGGCUUCGAUCGGUAACCGGCCUGAGAGGGCGAUCGGUCACACCGGAACUGAGACACGGUCCGGACUCCUACGGGAGGCAGCAGUGGGGAAUCUUGCGCAAUGGGCGAAGCCUGACGCAGCAACGCCGCGUGGAGGAUGAAGGCCUUCGGGUCGUAACCUACUGUCACGGGAACGAACGACGUUCAAGUUAACAG
This 472-nucleotide ribosomal RNA is filed under the name uncultured bacterium. RNAcentral's name for it is "bacterial SSU rRNA". It matches the Rfam family "Bacterial small subunit ribosomal RNA", at positions 9 to 466 of the family's 1533-position model. The record is from RNAcentral.